UCCAUUCGAGUACAUUCCAUUCCAUUCGAGUCCAUUCCAUUCUAUUCCAUUCAAAUCCAUUCCAUUCCAUUCCAUUCCUUUUGAUUCGAGUCCAUUCCAUUUCAUUCAAGUCCAUUCUGUUCCAUUCCACUCCAUUCGAGUGCAUUCCAUUCAUUUCCAUUCCAUUCCAUUCCUUUUGGGUCCGUUAAAUUCAACUGCAUUCCAUUCCAUUCCGUUCCAUUCCAUUCCAUUCCAUUCGGGUCCAU
This 245-nucleotide long non-coding RNA is filed under the name Homo sapiens (human). RNAcentral's name for it is "non-protein coding lnc-BMS1-6:1". Lineage: Eukaryota; Metazoa; Chordata; Mammalia; Primates; Hominidae. The record is from RNAcentral.